This is a long non-coding RNA of Orcinus orca (killer whale), 1431 nucleotides long. RefSeq lists it as uncharacterized. The record is from RefSeq and is a predicted model, not a curated record. NCBI's taxonomy places the organism in Eukaryota, Metazoa, Chordata, Mammalia, Artiodactyla, Delphinidae. The transcript has 2 exons.
GCUAUCAUUCUCCAUGCUUUGUGGAUGAGAAAACUGAGACGCGGGAAGGGUAGGUAACGCCCCCAAGAUCCACAGCUGCCCUCAAAGCCAGGCUUUGAAUCCCUGAACUGGGCUCCAGCGUCCCUGCCCUGAACCACUUAGCCUCUGUGCUGCUCCCAUAGUGGGCACCCAAAGAACAUUUGUCGAGCGAACAAAUGAGUGAUUAAGCAGGUUUGUAAAGGUAAAUGGUGAAGUUGGAUCUCAUCUGGCACCCCCCAUAGGCGUUACACGUGUAUUAAAUGAAUAAGUCACUUCUCCAGCCAUCCAUCUCUAUUUUGCAUGUUUGUACAUCUUUUAAUAAUGGAUUCCUUUCCAUUUUUAUUUUUACUUUUGUCUUCCUAAUAUUGCUGCCUUCUGUGGAUGUCAGUUCCUCUCUGAAAUUCAUUGUCACUUGACUGUGUGGGCCCCAUGUGGAAUUCUAACAGCAUCCAGGUAGCGACAAUGGGGCUUCGUUUUUUAAAAGAGGACAUGGCUGUUUUAAAUGAAUCACUCACAACUCGGGCAAUUAUCUUGAGCUCUAUAAGCUUCUCCGUUGCUAGGAAACCAUCCCUUCAAGCUGGUAAGCCUUUGCUAAAGUUUCGUCGUCGAGCGGUUCCACUUCUGCAGGCCCUGAGCCAGCCUGCUGUUCCAGGCUGCGAAGUUAGUUCCCAGCAGAGGAAAAGCAGCAGUGGCCCGAAAACACCCCUUGGACGGCACCCAUGGGGACCUGAGGUGGCUCAGGUGGCGGCGACUCCAGGACCCAGUCUGGGGGCACACUGCCUGGGGGCGGAUCCCCAGUUUGUGGCCUUGGGUGAGGUACCCCUCUCUCUCUGUGCCUCAGUUUCCAUCUUUGUAAAAUAAGGAAAUCACAGCAUCCUCGUUUACGGCGACUUGCCGAUGAAAUGAGAAAAGCUCACAAAAAGCUCUCAGCACAGUGCCUGGUGCAGUGCACGGCUCAGAAAAGCCCGCUGUUAAUACAACAACGACACGGAGUGUGAAGGUUGGAUAGUUUGUGAGACACCAAAGAAAACAAGAAUGCACCUAUGAGUCACAGAGUCCAAAAUGGUCAGGCCUGUCUACUCUACCACCACGUACCCGAUGCCACCGAGCGAUCAGUCCUCAGAGUAUUGAAAUAAAAACAAAAACAACGCAACAACUUCACAAUGACUAUGUGAACGCCCGUACAUUCAAAAAGAGCAGAAAAUUUAAACGGUAAGGAAGCAAAGUUUGUGACUAUGUUACUGGCCCUUCUGCCAUGUCUAGUUUUGCCCCUCCCCCUCAGCCUCUUUUCUCAACACACAUUUUAUUCAUAAUUUGCUUUGGACAUCAUUCUUUUCCAGGGAUCCAAAGGCAUGCUUUUUCUUCUGAGAUCUUUUUCUUUCUUUCCCUUUUUUUUUUUUUCCUUUCUGGUUU